Molecule: transfer RNA, 494 nt
Filed under: Affixifilum granulosum BLCC-M110
Lineage: Bacteria; Bacillati; Cyanobacteriota; Cyanophyceae; Oscillatoriales; Sirenicapillariaceae
Description: partial contains 16S ribosomal RNA, 16S-23S ribosomal RNA intergenic spacer and 23S ribosomal RNA
Rfam family: tRNA (bases 233-305)
Source: RNAcentral
CCUUUUAAGGGAGACCCAGGAAGGAGUCAGGGAGAAACCCAAAACUAAAAACUCCCUUCAAUUGGACUCUGACCCAUCCCAGGUCGGACGAAGUAAUCACAGUUGGCUUUCAAACUAUUUUAGGUUCAUUCAAGGGCUAUUAGCUCAGUUGGUUAGAGCGCACCCCUGAUAAGGGUGAGGUCUCUGGUUCAAGUCCAGAAUAGCCCACCUUAAAAAAUUCAGGAUUUAUCCUGGGGGUAUAGCUCAGUUGGUAGAGCGCUGCCUUUGCACGGCAGAAGUCAGCGGUUCGAGUCCGCUUACCUCCACUCUUUAAAGAGUUGGGUAAAAACUGAAGUAAUAAAGACAACUCAGCAAGAGACGAAAGUCAAGAUGCUGGGUGAAAGUCCAGCCAGAACCUUGAAAACUGCAUAGAGAAAAGUCAGGAAAGUCUAGUAUCAAACAAAGACUCAGGUCAAGCUACAAAGGGCUAAUGGUGGAUACCUAGGCACACAGAG